Long non-coding RNA from Chenopodium quinoa (quinoa), 1310 nucleotides. RefSeq lists it as uncharacterized. The record is from RefSeq and is a predicted model, not a curated record. The transcript has 3 exons. Lineage: Eukaryota; Viridiplantae; Streptophyta; Magnoliopsida; Caryophyllales; Amaranthaceae.
UCGGGUUAUUUUUUCUCGGAUUCGGUCGGAUUUUUUUCUUCGGAUCGGAUUGGACUAGGGGCGGAUUUGUACAGGAUUGCCAUCCCUAAUGUUGAGUUAAAAUAUGUCUAUAUUUCCUCACGUAUAGAAACACUUUUAGAAGAAUAAUAAUGUACCCUUUCUGUAAAUUGAUAAUUUGCAAGGGCAUAAAGGGGAUGUGAUAUAGUGGGAUUGAAGAGGGUGCACUGAGAGAAAACCGAUUGUUUUAUACGUGUUAACCUGAAUAAAUACAACUUCCUUUCAUACAUCAAUCAGAAGCGACUAAAGUUGGAUCGUCAGCUAAUAGGGCGCAUGUAACUACAAGCCAAUGCUAGUUUAUCGUCUUUUAAUUGUUUCCUUUAAUUUUGUGUUAAGCUCCUGUCAUUUUUUAUUUUUUUUUUAUUUUUUUUUGCGCAGAUUAAUUUCCUUAAUAUCUUUAUUUAUUAUUUAGUAAGUAUUUCGAAUGAUAUAUUGAGACGAAUAUAACAAGAAAUUUUUCCGUUUUCACUCUAAACUCUAAAAAAAAUGACCAAAGCAUUAUGUGUUUAUAGUGGAAAAAAAGUUGCCAUCACUAGUUAACCAAAAGCAUUAUGUGUUUAUAGUGGAAAAAAAGAAUGGAGGAAGGAAUUACAAGUUAACAGAUUAUCAAUUUAUCAUUAGGUUCAUGGCAUCACUAGUUGCCUCAGUAGAAUUGAAUCAUGUAAAAUCAUGAAUGGCCCAAAACUAAAAGCGGUAAGAUCCAAGCCCAAUUCAAUAGCCCCUAAAGACAAGCCCAAUUCUUCAUCAUCUUCUUCUUCCUCUCCCAACACCAGAAUCCUGCAAUUCAGCUUCUAUCACUCUGAUCAAACCAUCUUCAAAUACAUUUCUCAAAUUUUAGAGAGAGAAAUUGAGGAGAGAGAAAGUGAGAAGAGAGAAAUGUUGACACCGAUAAUAAAUUCAUGGGCGCCAUCUCCAAUGAUGUAUCCGUUCUUGGCGCCAUCUGGGCAAUUUACAAUGCUGAGAUUAGUUUGAUUGGUGCCGCCAUUAAAGCUCCUUGAUUACCUCCAUUAAACCUUAUUAGAGCACAUACCCUGUUCAUAUGUGGUUAUUGCAAUUUGGCACGUUGGAUUUCCAUGCUCGUAUCUGUUCUUUAUAUAUUAUUGUAAAAGUGUAUGGAUAGUGCUAAAGUUGUGUUGCAAAUAUUAUAGUGGAUGACGUACAUAGUUCUGGGGCUGUAAGUGAUGGCAAUGAGUUGUUAUACUUAUUUAUGUAAUAAAUUCUGUAGUUUAAUUGCAAAAAUUGAGUUUGUAAAA